UCUUUUGGAAAGCUGCUUCCACCCCACCCUUGUUUUAGCUAGUCCUCAAUUUGAUCUGGUGUCCAAGCUCUGCCUCUGGAGUGGAGUCCCGCCUCCUACCUCACUGCUACAAGAAGGAACUUUUGCUGCUUCAGGGAGGCUGUCCUGCUGAGUGAAUUUCACAGGAGCGAUAUGCCAAAAUCAGUGUGACCAUCGUUUCCAUUGCUCACCUCACCAGCAUUGCUGCCUUGAAGACCUCUGGACCUAGGUCAUCGUGUGCACCCCUGUUACUUUAUUAAGACUAGAGUAGAACUGCUAAAUUAAAUGAUGUCAAUGUUUCUUUGAAAAUGUGUAUACAAAUGUCAAAUUCUCUCUAAUAGGUUUUGAAAAUUGUCUCCAAAGUUUUGAAAUAUUUUUUCCUAUUGGAAGUAUGUAAGAUGCUUAUUUUAAAAUUGUCCAUUUAGAAAGUUUCUUUUCUGAUGAAUAAUAAAAUGUGAAAUGUAUAUACAAUGGAAUAUUAUUCAGCCUUUAAAAAGAAGGAAAUACUGACAUAUACUACAACAUGGAUGAGCCUGGAAGACAUUAUGUUAAGUGAAAUAAGACAGGCACAGAAAGACAUAUACUGCAUGAUUUCACUUAUAUGUGGAAGCUAAAAAGUUGAAUUCCUAAAAGUGGAGAACAGAAGAGUGGAUACCAGAGGCUGGGUAUGGAGUGGGUAACCAGGGAGAUGUUGUUCAAAGGACAUAAAAUGUCAAUUAGAGGAGGAAUAAGUUCAACCGAUCUAUUGUAUGCCACGGUGACUAUAGUUAAUAACAAUAUAUUGUAUCCUUGAAAUCAUUAAGAGCAUAGAUUUGAAGUAUUCUUAACACAAAAAAGUAUGCGAGAUAAUGCAUUUGCUAAUUAGCACUGUUUAGUCAUUCCACAAUGUAUACAUAUUUCAAAACAUCAUGUUGUACACAAUAAAUAUAUACAACUUUUGUCAACUAAAAACUAUUUUAAAAAAAGAAAAGAAAAAAUCCUUUUCUGUAUCAAAAUACUUUAUUUUUGUGACAGUUUGAUACUUUUUCUCCAGCAAUUAUUCUUUGUAACAGUUUACCCACUGACAGACUUUUUAAAUUCCUGGUUAUUCCUGAGUAAUUUAUGCAGUGAAAAUAUUUCUUUUAAUCAAAACAAAGAUAUUUGUCCUCCGAAUUGUAUUUUCAAAGAAGCAACCAUUUUUUGAACUAAAUAUAUUUUAUUUAAAGUUCUAGUCGAGCAGCUUUACAGUACCUAACAAAAUUCCACCACAGAAUGAACGCAUAACACACAUUGAACAAUUAAUAUAUUUGAAUAUUCUCCAAAAAACCAAAACAAACAAACAAAAAAGGUUUUCUUGACUAGGAAAAGGCCAUCUCUGACACCACUUCUGGGCUUCAAAAUUGAGAUUGCAGAGCUCUGUUAAUCCCUCAACAUUUGGGCAGAAUUGGUAAAGAUUUGCUUUGGAUUUUUUUUUUCUUUUCUUUUCUUUUCUUUUCUUUUUUUUCUUUUUUGAGACAGGGUCUCACUGUGUUGCCCAGGCUUGAGUUCAGUGGAGCAGUAGAGUGAUCAUGGCUCACUGCAGCCUUGAACACCUGGGCUCAGGCAAUCUACCUGCUCCAGCCUCCCAAGUAUCUGGGACUACAGGUGUGCUCCACCAUGCCCAGCUGUUAUUUAUUUAUUUGUCUCACUAUGUUGUCCAGGCUAAUCUGGUACUCCUGGGUUCAGUGAUCCUCCUACCUUGGCCUCCCAAAGUGCUGGGAUUACAGGUGUGAGCCACCACACUUGGCCUGAUUUGUGUUUUUUAAGGUUCUUACCUUUAAAAAUGUAUGCCAUAAAACAUAAAAAUAUGACCUUUAUAAUUCAGUUUUGAAUAUUUACCGCUUAAAGUUCCAGUUCCAGUAUAAAUUACACUAAAAUGUGUAAAAAUAUAACUAAGUAGAAAUAUUUACAUCAAAUAUAGCAGAUAAAAUAUUACUUACUACAACAUUUAGAUAACCACAUUGAAAUGAAGAAAAAUGUAUACCCUGUUAGACAAGAUGACAGAAGAUAUCAAAU
This 2052-nucleotide long non-coding RNA is filed under the name Homo sapiens (human). Its description in RNAcentral is "HSALNT0122368". Lineage: Eukaryota; Metazoa; Chordata; Mammalia; Primates; Hominidae. The record is from RNAcentral.